This is a non-coding RNA of Vicia faba (fava bean), 216 nucleotides long. The record is from the annotation of a GenBank genome assembly. Lineage: Eukaryota; Viridiplantae; Streptophyta; Magnoliopsida; Fabales; Fabaceae.
AUGGUGCCUCUCACAGAGAUUAAAGUUGGAGCCUCUGUUAUAUCGGAGAUGGAGGUUGAGAACCUGACUUGUACUGAAUGCUACUGCCCUAUUCAUAAUCUCAAAACUGAAAUUGCCUUUGCACUGAAUCACGCGGGACUGUUAUGUGAACCUUGGAACUUGACCAUGAUGAACUUGCAAGCAUGCUGGAAUUACAGUGAGUCUUGUGCAACAUAG